RNAcentral lists this ribosomal RNA (245 nucleotides) under uncultured bacterium. RNAcentral's name for it is "partial small subunit ribosomal RNA". It matches the Rfam family "Bacterial small subunit ribosomal RNA", at positions 26 to 285 of the family's 1533-position model. The record is from RNAcentral.
AGAAUCAACGCUGGCGGCGUGCCUAACACAUGCAAGUCGAACGAGAAAGUGGAGCAAUCCAUGAGUAAAGUGGCGCACGGGUGAGUAACACGUGACUAACCUACCCUUGAGUGGGGGAUAACCUAGGGAAACCUGGGCUAAUACCGCAUAAUACCUACGGGUCAAAGGAGCAAUUCGCUUUGGGAGGGGGUCGCGGCCGAUUAGUUAGUUGGCGGGGUAAUGGCCCACCAAGACGAUGAUCUGUA